AGGGCCAUAUCAUAUUGAAACACCGGUUCUCUUACAAUCACCAAAGUUAAGCAACAUCGAACCUGGUUAGUACCUAGAUGGGUAACCGCUUGGGAAUACCAGGUAUUGUAA
Molecule: non-coding RNA, 111 nt
Organism: Acanthosepion pharaonis
Lineage: Eukaryota; Metazoa; Mollusca; Cephalopoda; Sepiida; Sepiidae
Source: the annotation of a GenBank genome assembly